GACUUUAUCCAUCACCCUGAGCAUGAUGAUCAUGUCUGAUUUCAGAAGUUCAGCAAGGUCAAGUCCAGAUGGCACUUGGAUGGGAGACCAACAGGGAAUACCAGACGCUGUACUGA
RNAcentral lists this ribosomal RNA (116 nucleotides) under Pogona vitticeps (central bearded dragon). The record is from RNAcentral. Lineage: Eukaryota; Metazoa; Chordata; Lepidosauria; Squamata; Agamidae.